AACCCAUGUUGAGGACAUUUCCACGGGAGCUCCUUGACCCAUUCCAUGUCUCAAAAAGAGACUCCAAUUUUGUUUGCAAAAAUGAAGAUAUCUCAUUCCUAAGCCU
Dioscorea cayenensis subsp. rotundata (Guinea yam) is the source of this 106-nucleotide small nucleolar RNA. The record is from RefSeq and is a predicted model, not a curated record. Lineage: Eukaryota; Viridiplantae; Streptophyta; Magnoliopsida; Dioscoreales; Dioscoreaceae.